AUUGAACGCUGGCGGAAUGCUUUACACAUGCAAGUCGAACGGCAGCACGGACUUCGGUCUGGUGGCGAGUGGCGAACGGGUGAGUAAUACAUCGGAACGUGCCCAGUCGUGGGGGAUAACGUAGCGAAAGCUACGCUAAUACCGCAUACGAUCUAAGGAUGAAAGCGGGGGAUCGCAAGACCUCGCGCGAUUGGAGCGGCCGAUGGCAGAUUAGGUAGUUGGUAGGGUAAAGGCCUACCAAGCCGACGAUCUGUAGCUGGUCUGAGAGGAUGAUCAGCCACACUGGGAAUGAGACACGGCCCAGACUCCUACGGGAGGCAGCAGUGGGGAAUUUGGGACAAUGGGCGCAAGCCUGAUCCAGCCAUUCCGCGUGCAGGAUGAAGGCCUUCGGGUUGUAAACUGCUUUUGUACAGAACGAAAAGGCUCUGGUUAAUACCCGGGGCUCAUGACGGUACUGUAAGAAUAAGCACCGGCUAACUACGUGCCAGCCGCCGCCGCAG
Molecule: ribosomal RNA, 500 nt
Filed under: uncultured bacterium
Lineage: Bacteria
Description: partial 16S ribosomal RNA
Rfam family: Bacterial small subunit ribosomal RNA
Source: RNAcentral